This 332-nucleotide ribosomal RNA is filed under the name uncultured eukaryote. RNAcentral describes it as "partial 18S ribosomal RNA". It matches the Rfam family "Eukaryotic small subunit ribosomal RNA", at positions 1470 to 1796 of the family's 1831-position model. The record is from RNAcentral.
CCCUUAGAUGUCCUGGGCUGCACGCGCGCUACACUGGAAGUUACGGAUUGAGAUACUACCUUGUCCGAAAUGGUCCGGGUAAUCACCUAAAAGCUUGUCAUAAUUGGAAUGGAUUAUUGUAACUAGUAAUCCUGAACGAGGAAUUCCUAGUAAGUCCCAGUCAACAGCUGGUACUGAUUACGUCCCUGCCCUUUGUACACACCGCCCGUCGCUACUACUGAAUGGACGUUUAAGCAAGAUUUUUAAACACUGACAGUGUGUAGUUCACGCUAUACUACAGUGAGAAGAAGAAGAUCGAGCUUACUUGUCUAGAGGAAGUAAAAGUCGUAACA